UACGUAGGGGGCUAGCGUUGUCCGGAAUCAUUGGGCGUAAAGCGCGUGUAGGCGGUUCGGUAAGUCCGCUGUGAAAGUCGAGGGCUCAACCCUCGAAUGCCGGUGGAUACUGUCGGGCUAGAGUACGGAAGAGGCGAGUGGAAUUCCUGGUGUAGCGGUGAAAUGCGCAGAUAUCAGGAGGAACACCAAUUGCGAAGGCAGCUCGCUGGGACGUUACUGACGCUGAGGAGCGAAAGCGUGGGGAGCGAACAGG
This 253-nucleotide ribosomal RNA is filed under the name uncultured bacterium. RNAcentral describes it as "partial 16S ribosomal RNA". It matches the Rfam family "Bacterial small subunit ribosomal RNA", at positions 524 to 776 of the family's 1533-position model. The record is from RNAcentral.